UAGAUACCCUAGUAUGAAAAAUAAUGAAAUUAGUAAGGGAUGAAAUUUAAUAAUUUUGGCGGUUAAUUUUUAAUUAGAGGAGCUUGUUUUGUUUAGAAAAGGCUCUUUAAAUUUUGUAAUAUAAAGUUUAUUCAUCUCCGUUAUAAGAUCAUAAUUGACAAAAGUAAUAAUAAGUAUAAUUUCAGGUCAAGAUGUAGCAUGUAUUUAUAAAAAUUAGCUACAAUAUAAUAUAUAUAUAUGGAUUUUAAUUGGUAGAAAUUAUUUAAAAUUGAAUUUAAUUGUAAUAUUAAUUAGAAUAUUAGUAUGAAUGAUAUAAAUUAAUGUACAUAUUGCCCGUCACUUCUUUUGGUUGAAUAA
Molecule: ribosomal RNA, 357 nt
Filed under: Azulamus scabrissimus
Lineage: Eukaryota; Metazoa; Arthropoda; Arachnida; Opiliones; Manaosbiidae
Description: partial small subunit ribosomal RNA
Source: RNAcentral